GUAGCCUUAACUGGACUCUGCUUAGCCCUGGCUCUCCUUUCAGUCUCCUCGACACACAGCCAGAUGAAGAAGAAUCCUUAAAAAUAGCAUAAAUGCCACCAAAUGACAUUCCACCUAGAUUUGAGCCCACUGCCGAGCGGGGGAGACAGACAGGAGCAGAUGGUGUGGCCGUGGGGCCUGCAAUGGGCCUCACUGAGGCCUGAGCUGAGAGAAGGAAACAUCCUGGAGAAGCUGAGACUUCAAGGAAGAGUCGCUUUCCUGGUGAACCCUUGAGGGAGGACCUUCCAGGCAGAGGUGGGGAAACCAGCUUUGCCUUUCUCCUAGCUCUACUGAGCUCCCGUCUUACUUCUACUCUACACCAGGACAGAGUCCACCUGACACUUCUGAAUGACGGGACGUCCUUCAUCUUCUGCUGGAGAUUUAGAGACAGACUUCCAACAAGGAAAGCCAGGCCUCUGGCCAAGGACACCCCUGAACACAGAGCAGAGAGGAGCCGAAACAGGACACUGAAGACAUCCAGGCCGCCCAGACCCACAGACUGCGCCCCGACCCUACCUCCCCUGCAGUUAGUGCAGGAGGAUGAGACAGAGCAAGGUCACCCAUCAGGAUGCUGUCUCUCUAGCGCCCUCUGCCGGGUUCUCAUGAGAAGACCCCCUUGACAGGAGGAGACAAGGGUACCUGUCCAGUGCAUCCCAAGGGAAAGAAGACUAAGACCUAUGGGACAUGCUCAUCAAUAAGGGGAUAAGCAGUGAAUCCUUGAGGGCUGCUCAGGUCUGCAUGAGACAUGCAGAGUCGCAGACCGGAGCCUGAAUCCCAGCUUCCCCAUUAAGCAGUUCCACGAGCUUAGGCCAAUCGCUUCACCUCUCUGGGCUUCAUUUGUCUUACCCAUGAACUAAUCCUUGGUUUGUCCACCUCCUAGAGUCGUUGCAAGGAGCCAGACAGACAGGUGGUGAAGGACAGCGCUGGACAGGUGUGAGACUGCUCUAUGAGGCCAUUCAUCUCAUAAAUAGUUGCUGAGUACCAAAGACGUGCCGGGCGCUAUUCCAGUGCCAGGGAUAUGAACGGAUGAGACAAGGCCUUCCGGUGGAGCAAGCAUCCUGGGUGAUCGCAGAGAGAGAAUAAACAAAUACAUAGCGUCGGCAGUAAAAAGCGCUACACGUAGAGAAACAAAACAGAAUAAGAGAUAGGAAGUGAUGCAAAUGGGACUCAAAAUAGGGCACUCAGGGAAGGCCUUAUGAGGAAGUGACCUUUGGGCGAAGAUCUAAAUAAAGCGAGGGAGUGAAGUGUGCAGAUCUCGGAAGGAAGAAUUUUCGGGCAGAGGGGAAGCGAAGGCCAAGGCCCUGAGACGGGAAGAUCCAAGAGAGGCUUUCAAAGCUUACAGUGGAGGAGAAAUGGCUUGUUUGAGACGAGGAAAGAGGCGGAACAAGGGAAGUAACUUGCCUGAGGUCACAUGGCUUGUCAGUGUCACAGGGCAAGAUUCCAUUCCAGGACUCCCGGAUUCCAGCAUCUCUGCUCCUAACCAGCCAAUCCUUGCUGUCUUCUCCUGCUGGCACCGACUCCGCUAAGAAACAGAAGGUUCAAGAUGGCGACACAGGAAGAUCCUGAACUCGCCUCCCCCACAGACACACUGAAUCUACAGCUGCAUAUGGAGC
This 1652-nucleotide long non-coding RNA is filed under the name Equus caballus (horse). RNAcentral's name for it is "lncRNA (ENSECAG00000054915.1)". Lineage: Eukaryota; Metazoa; Chordata; Mammalia; Perissodactyla; Equidae. The record is from RNAcentral.